This 200-nucleotide ribosomal RNA is filed under the name uncultured organism. Its description in RNAcentral is "partial small subunit ribosomal RNA". It matches the Rfam family "Bacterial small subunit ribosomal RNA", at positions 1183 to 1382 of the family's 1533-position model. The record is from RNAcentral.
CGUCAAAUCAUCAUGCCCUUGAUGUCCUGGGCGACACACGUGCUACAAUGGGCGGUACAACGGGCAGCGAGACCGCGAGGUGGAGCGAAUCCCUGAAAGCCGCUCGUAGUUCGGAUUGCAGGCUGCAACCCGCCUGCAUGAAGCCGGAAUUGCUAGUAAUCGCGGAUCAGCAUGCCGCGGUGAAUCCGUUCCCGGGCCUU